This 429-nucleotide ribosomal RNA is filed under the name Acidobacteriota bacterium. Its description in RNAcentral is "Acidobacteria bacterium partial 16S ribosomal RNA". It matches the Rfam family "Bacterial small subunit ribosomal RNA", at positions 355 to 776 of the family's 1533-position model. Lineage: Bacteria; Pseudomonadati; Acidobacteriota. The record is from RNAcentral.
UGGGGAAUUUUGGACAAUGGGGGAAACCCUGAUCUAGCCAUCCCGCGUGUGCGAUGAAGGCCUUCGGGUUGUAAAGCACUUUUGGCAGGAAAGAAACGUCAUGGGUUAAUACCCCGUGAAACUGACGGUACCUGCAGAAUAAGCACCGGCUAACUACGUGCCAGCAGCCGCGGUAAUACGUAGGGUGCAAGCGUUAAUCGGAAUUACUGGGCGUAAAGCGUGCGCAGGCGGUUCGGAAAGAAAGAUGUGAAAUCCCAGAGCUCAACUUUGGAACUGCAUUUUUAACUACCGGGCUAGAGUGUGUCAGAGGGAGGUGGAAUUCCGCGUGUAGCAGUGAAAUGCGUAGAUAUGCGGAGGAACACCGAUGGCGAAGGCAGCCUCCUGGGAUAACACUGACGCUCAUGCACGAAAGCGUGGGGAGCAAACAGG